GACGAACGCUGGCGGCGUGCUUAACACAUGCAAGUCGAACGGAAAGGCCCUGCUUUUGUGGGGUGCUCGAGUGGCGAACGGGUGAGUAACACGUGAGUAACCUGCCCUUGACUGUGGGAUAACUUAAGGAAACUGGGGGUAAUACCGGAUAGGAGCUCCUGCUGCAUGGAGGGGGUGGGAAAGUUUCGGCGGUUGGGGAUGGACUCGCGGCUUAUCAGCUUGUUGGUGGGGUAGGGGCUUACCAAGGCUUUGACGGGUAGCCGGCCUGAGAGGGUGACCGGCCACAUUGGGACUGUGAGACGGCGCAGACUCCUACGUACGGCAGCAGUCGGGAAUAUUGCGCAAUGGGCGGAGGCCUGUUUGCGCAAAGUCGCGUGCGGGUUGAUGGCCUUCGGUUUCUAAUCCGCUUUCGCCUGUGAUGACGCGUGAGUGACGGUAAUGUGUACACAAGCACCGGCUACCUACGUG
This 468-nucleotide ribosomal RNA is filed under the name uncultured bacterium. RNAcentral's name for it is "partial 16S ribosomal RNA". It matches the Rfam family "Bacterial small subunit ribosomal RNA", at positions 28 to 507 of the family's 1533-position model. The record is from RNAcentral.